Molecule: non-coding RNA, 284 nt
Organism: Candidatus Woesebacteria bacterium RBG_13_36_22
Lineage: Bacteria; Candidatus Woeseibacteriota
Source: Rfam
UCUGGAGAAAGAGCAAUUGCCGGGUAUCGUAAGGUACUCGGAGGAAAGUCCAGGCAGCAGAAGGCAGGGUGCCUAGCGUAAGCUGGGACGCGUAAGCGCUAGUUUAGAGCAACAGAGACGAUUCUGAUUCAAGCUAAAAACUUGAAUUAGGGUGAAACGGGCAAUCCUCCCCGCUGCAACCUACGAAAUGAGCGUUAUUAGGUAGCCUUCCCGAGCUCAAAGGUUUAGGGCAUAGAUAGAUAAUUGCUUAGAAACAGAACCUGGCUUACUAAUCUCCAGAGUUU